AGACCCGAAACCCGGUGAUCUAGCCAUGGGCAGGUUGAAGGUUGGGUAACACUAACUGGAGGACCGAACCGACUAAUGUUGAAAAAUUAGCGGAUGACCUGUGGCUGGGGGUGAAAGGCCAAUCAAACCGGGAGAUAGCUGGUUCUCCCCGAAAGCUAUUUAGGUAGCGCCUCGUGAAUUCAUCUCCGGGGGUAGAGCACUGUUUCGGCUAGGGGGCCAUCCCGGCUUACCAACCCGAUGCAAACUGCGAAUACCGGAGAAUGUUAUCACGGGAGACACACGGCGGGUGCUAACGUCCGUCGUGAAGAGGGAAACAACCCAGACCGCCAGCUAAGGUCCCAAAGUCAUGGUUAAGUGGGAAACGAUGUGGGAAGGCCCAGACAGCCAGGAUGUUGGCUUAGAAGCAGCCAUCAUUUAAAGAAAGCGUAAUAGCUCACUGGUCGAGUCGGCCUGCGCGGAAGAUGUAACGGGGCUAAACCAUGCACCGAAGCUGCGGCAGCGAACGUAUCACCCAAGACAACUUUACGGAGUUGACGAUUGACGGAGCGAAGCGACGUCAAAGCGUUCAUUAAAGUCGAGUUGGCUUAGGGAUACGUUCGUUGGGUAGGGGAGCGUUCUGUAAGCCUGUGAAGGUGUGUCGUGAGGCAUGCUGGAGGUA
RNAcentral lists this ribosomal RNA (658 nucleotides) under Salmonella enterica. RNAcentral's name for it is "partial 23S ribosomal RNA". It matches the Rfam family "Bacterial large subunit ribosomal RNA", at positions 711 to 1281 of the family's 2925-position model. Lineage: Bacteria; Pseudomonadati; Pseudomonadota; Gammaproteobacteria; Enterobacterales; Enterobacteriaceae. The record is from RNAcentral. RNAcentral also lists the same sequence under 1 other name.